This 159-nucleotide non-coding RNA is filed under the name uncultured Faecalibacillus sp. Its description in RNAcentral is "Lysine riboswitch". It matches the Rfam family "Lysine riboswitch aptamer". From Rfam's summary of the family: Riboswitches are metabolite binding domains within certain messenger RNAs that serve as precision sensors for their corresponding targets. The record is from RNAcentral. Lineage: Bacteria; Bacillati; Bacillota; Erysipelotrichia; Erysipelotrichales; Coprobacillaceae.
AAAGAUAGAGGUGCAUGAAUCAUCAGUAUUUAAUGAUAAUGGUUGGUGACAGUUAUUAAAGAAAGGGAAACAUGCCGAAGGAAAUAGAAACACCAAUUUCUAUUUACCUGGGAGAUAAUAAAAGAUAUUAUUUCUUGUCACAUAUGUGGAGAGCUAUCA